RNAcentral lists this unclassified non-coding RNA (204 nucleotides) under uncultured Sordariomycetes. RNAcentral describes it as "sequence contains ITS2". The record is from RNAcentral. Lineage: Eukaryota; Fungi; Ascomycota; Sordariomycetes.
UAAUUCCUUCCCAGGGAUGGAGCUUCUGUUUCUACAGAGGUUUCUACCAGGGGUGUUGGCACCUGGCGCCGCCUAGGCGACCGGAGCCCAAAUGCAGUGGCGGACGCGCAAGCGGCUCCUAGCGCAGUAGAAAACAAACUUCGCUCAGGAGGCUCGCAGCAGCGGACUAUAGCCCCAACGCAAAGAUUUUUUUGCAAUAAAAAC